GAUGAACGCUGGCGGCGUGCCUAAUACAUGCAAGUCGAGCGAACGGACGAGUAGCUUGCUUUUCUGAUGUUAGCGGCGGCCGGGGGAGUAACAACUGGAUAGCCUACCUCUACGACUGGGUUAACUUCGGGAAACCGGAGCUACUACCGCAUAAUAUUUUGAACCUCUUGGUUCAAAAGUGUAAGACGGUCUUGCUGUCACUUAUAGAUGGAUUCGCGCUGCAUUAGCUAGUUGGUAAGGUAACGGCUUACCAAGGCAACGAUGCAUAGCCGACCUGAGAGGGUGAUCGGCCACACUGGAGCUGAGGAAAGGUCCAGACUCCUACGGGAGGCAGCAGUAGGGAAUAUUACGGCAUGGGCGGAAGCCUGAUGGAGCAGCGACGCGGGAGUGAUGAAGGUCUUCGGAUCGUAGAACUCUUUUAUUAGGGAAGAACAAAUGUGUAAUUGAUUGUGCACAGCUUGACGGUACCUAAAUAGAAAGCCACGGCUAACUACGUG
This 497-nucleotide ribosomal RNA is filed under the name uncultured bacterium. RNAcentral's name for it is "partial 16S ribosomal RNA". It matches the Rfam family "Bacterial small subunit ribosomal RNA", at positions 28 to 507 of the family's 1533-position model. The record is from RNAcentral.